UACGAAGGGGGCUAGCGUUGCUCGGAAUGACUGGGCGUAAAGGGCGCGUAGGCGGAGUGCUUUGUCGGGCGUGAAAUUCCAGGGCUCAACCUUGGGGCUGCGUUCGAGACGGGCAUUCUUGAGUGGGGAAGAGGGUCGUGGAAUUCCCAGUGUAGAGGUGAAAUUCGUAGAUAUUGGGAAGAACACCGGUGGCGAAGGCGGCGACCUGGUCCUUUACUGACGCUGAGGCGCGAAAGCGUGGGGAGCAAACAGG
This 253-nucleotide ribosomal RNA is filed under the name uncultured bacterium. RNAcentral's name for it is "partial 16S ribosomal RNA". It matches the Rfam family "Bacterial small subunit ribosomal RNA", at positions 524 to 776 of the family's 1533-position model. The record is from RNAcentral.